CCUACGGGUGGCAGCAGUGAGGAAUAUUGGUCAAUGGACGCAAGGCUGAACCAGCCAAGCAGCGUGCAGGAAGACGGCGCUAUGAGUUGUAAACUUCUUUUGUACAAGGGUAAACGCAGACACGCGUACCUGUCUGAAAGUACCGUAUGAAUAAGGAUCGGCUAACUCCGUGCCAGCAGCCGCGGUAAUACGGAGGAUUCAAGCGUUAUCCGGAUUUAUUGGGUUUAAAGGGUGCGUAGGCGGCCGGAUAAGUUAGAUGUGAAAGCCCGAGGCUCAACUUCGGAAUUGCCUCUGAUACUGUCCGGCUAGAGAGUAGUUGCGGUAGGCGGAAUGUGUGGUGUAGCGGUGAAAUGCUUAGAGAUC
This 363-nucleotide ribosomal RNA is filed under the name uncultured bacterium. RNAcentral describes it as "partial 16S ribosomal RNA". It matches the Rfam family "Bacterial small subunit ribosomal RNA", at positions 338 to 698 of the family's 1533-position model. The record is from RNAcentral.